Vigna radiata var. radiata (mung bean) is the source of this 1053-nucleotide long non-coding RNA. RefSeq lists it as uncharacterized. NCBI's taxonomy places the organism in Eukaryota, Viridiplantae, Streptophyta, Magnoliopsida, Fabales, Fabaceae. The transcript is spliced from 2 exons. The record is from RefSeq and is a predicted model, not a curated record.
UGCAGAAAAUAAUGUAUUUAAAUGUGUUUACAAUAAUAUUUUUAUUUUUGUAGAAAAUUAAUUAGUGAAAGUUAUUACAGAAUUUCAAAACUCUGCUCUGUCCCGUUCAUUGGUACUCCUCUGUUUGUAUCUUGUCUACAUGCAUUUAAUCUCUUAUCAGAUUUAGGUUUGAUUACAUCAAUUUAUCUUUCUAUUUUGAUUUCGUUGAUUUUCCUUUAAUUUGAUUUGUUCAUGAAAGGCUUUGAUAACGAUUUGUUUCAGUAUGUGAGUGUUGAGUGAAAUGUAAAUGUAAUUCCCAGGGCGAAAGCAAAGUCUGAAUGAUAACAAUGUUGACGUAAAUCUUCUCAGUUCAAUUGAUAUCUUAUGCAUACUUUCUUUUAGGAAUGUGUGAAUGUUUCAAAUACAUCAUUGGAGCACUUGGGAAGGGGUUGAAUCCACUGAUAAUACUAUAUUUGAUUUUCUGAAUGGUUUAUUGGAAAAUAAAAGUUCAUUUGCUUUCAUUUUUGCUCAUUCUCUUUGAACUUGACUUGUGCUGCUUUCACCUUUUCUGAAGUAAGCCCAACGGGCAAGUUCAUGACCGAUGAUUUUGAUGCAAACUCUAAUAUUCAAAGCUGCAGGUUCAGUGUGUGGGAAACAGAUGAUCUGGAACAAAUUUGACACCUGACAAUCACGAAACUGUUUCGGUUCCAACUUUGUAUAUGCAUGAGAACCAGUGCUCAUUAGCCAUUUGUUUUAAUGAUUAGCUCAUUUUUCGUUUAUGCAGAGACACACAACACAUUAUACUAUUGUCCAACAGUAGGAUUCAAAGAGCCUUUGUUUACGGAGUUUUUGGGUUUUUUUAUAAAUGAAUUGCUUUUUUUUUAUAUGUAUAUUUGUACUGUAUCUAUUGAUUUUGGUAUAAAUUAGCAAAGGUGGUAAUUGUUAAUUGAAGAUGUUAAUGUAAGUGAUACAAUUUGUGGGAAGAGGGUAUGAAGCUCAGACGUAUGUGCAGCCAGAGCUUAGUGUGUAUGCUAAUUUUAUGAGCAUAAAAGGACGUUUUUCUAUUGGGUUCAA